CCUACGGGAGGCAGCAGUGGGGAAUUUUGGACAAUGGGCGCAAGCCUGAUCCAGCAAUGCCGCGUGCAGGAUGAAGGCCUUCGGGUUGUAAACUGCUUUUGUACGGAACGAAACGGUGAGCUCUAAUACAGUUUGCUAAUGACGGUACCGUAAGAAUAAGCACCGGCUAACUACGUGCCAGCAGCCGCGGUAAUACGUAGGGUGCGAGCGUUAAUCGGAAUUACUGGGCGUAAAGCGUGCGCAGGCGGUGAUGUAAGACAGAUGUGAAAUGCCCGGGCUCAACCUGGGACCUGCAUUUGUGACUGCAUCGCUAGAGUACGGUAGAGGGGGAUGGAAUUCCGCGUGUAGCAGUGAAAUGCGUAGAUAUGCGGAGGAACACCGAUGGCGAAGGCAAUCCCCUGGACCUGUACUGACGCUCAUGCACGAAAGCGUGGGGAGCAAACAGGAUUAGAUACCCUGGUAGUCCACGCCCUAAACGAUGUCAACUGGUUGUUGGGUCUUCACUGACUCAGUAACGAAGCUAACGCGUGAAGUUGACCGCCUUGGGGGUAGGUUACGGCCGCGAGGUUAGACGACGAAGAAGUUAGAGGCGNGAGAGNGCGACGGACGACGACGAGGGAGGUAGG
This 626-nucleotide ribosomal RNA is filed under the name uncultured bacterium. RNAcentral's name for it is "bacterial SSU rRNA". The stretch from base 1 to 542 matches the Rfam family "Bacterial small subunit ribosomal RNA", at positions 338 to 873 of the family's 1533-position model. The record is from RNAcentral.